UACAUGCUACUCUAAAUGCACCUUUGUGGAUAUCUCAUUCUAAUUGCAUGUCUUAUGCCUUCAACAAUUCUAGCAUAGACAUUCAGGAACUUUAUGAUUUUAUAGUGAGCGUUGAUUUGGUCAUUGGCAUGAGAGUAAUAUACUUGUAUUUUAGCCCUUUGUUUCUAAUACAGGUUUGGGAUCUGUUAUACAAAAACCCAUUAUCCAGAAAGGUCUGAAUUACAGAAGGC
Xenopus laevis (African clawed frog) is the source of this 230-nucleotide non-coding RNA. The record is from Rfam. NCBI's taxonomy places the organism in Eukaryota, Metazoa, Chordata, Amphibia, Anura, Pipidae.